RNAcentral lists this unclassified non-coding RNA (389 nucleotides) under Hevea brasiliensis (rubber tree). The record is from RNAcentral. Lineage: Eukaryota; Viridiplantae; Streptophyta; Magnoliopsida; Malpighiales; Euphorbiaceae.
GUACAGCUGCUGCACACUCAGGAUCUGAAAAACCAAAGCAUAGUGAUAAAAAAGAGAGACCUGUCACACCAAUGAACUUGAUUUCCCAGUACAAUGAAGGGAAAACAUUGGGCAGAUCCCCAAUUAAAAUAAAGACUUGUCACGGGGAGCAACCGUGAACAGCUACAUUUAGAAGGCAGAAAUAGUUAGCCAUUUUGGCAACCAUUUCAACUGCCAAUGCAAAGAACAAACACACAGAACCUUAUUACAGCCCAGCCCCUUGCACAAAUCAAAUUCCCUGAUCCUGCUACACUAAGAUGUGCACACAAUAUGAGGAGAUACUGAGAUAGACACACGCAUGCUUGUGUGCAAACAAAGAAUAGAAAGAUGGGGGGUGGGGGGCGCGGGAG